RNAcentral lists this unclassified non-coding RNA (254 nucleotides) under uncultured Latescibacterota bacterium. RNAcentral describes it as "uncultured Latescibacteria bacterium contains 16S-23S intergenic spacer region". It matches the Rfam family "Bacterial small subunit ribosomal RNA", at positions 524 to 776 of the family's 1533-position model. The record is from RNAcentral. Lineage: Bacteria; Pseudomonadati; Candidatus Latescibacterota.
UACGGGGGGAGCAAGCGUUGUUCGGAAUUACUGGGCGUAAAGGGCGUGUAGGCGGUUGCGCAAGUCAGGGGUGAAAUGCAUCGGCUUAACCGGUUGACCUGCCCUUGAAACUGCACAACUUGAGUACGGAAGAGGAGAGCGGAAUUCCUGGUGUAGCGGUGAAAUGCGUAGAUAUCAGGAAGAACACCUGUGGCGAAGGCGGCUCUCUGGUCCAGUACUGACGCUGAGGCGCGAAAGCCAGGGGAGCGAACGGG